This 319-nucleotide ribosomal RNA is filed under the name uncultured bacterium. RNAcentral describes it as "bacterial SSU rRNA". It matches the Rfam family "Bacterial small subunit ribosomal RNA", at positions 470 to 789 of the family's 1533-position model. The record is from RNAcentral.
GGACGGUACCUUUCGAGGAAGCCACGGCUAACUACGUGCCAGCAGCCGCGGUAAUACGUAGGUGGCGAGCGUUGUCCGGAAUUAUUGGGCGUAAAGGGAGCGCAGGUGGGACUUCAAGUCAGUCUUAAAAGUGCGGGGCUCAACCCCGUGAUGGGAUUGAAACUGUAGUUCUUGAGUGCAGGAGAGGAAAGCGGAAUUCCUAGUGUAGCGGUGAAAUGCGUAGAUAUAUGGAGGAACACCGGUGGCGAAAGCGGCUCUCUGGUCUGUAACUGACGCUGAGGCUCGAAAGCGUGGGGAGCAAACAGGAUUAGAUACCCUG